UACGUAGGGUGCAAGCGUUGUCCGGAAUUAUUGGGCGUAAAGAGCUCGUAGGCGGCUUGUCGCGUCGACUGUGAAAUCCCGCGGCUCAACUGCGGGUCUGCAGUCGAUACGGGCAGGCGUAGAGUUCGGUAGGGGAGACUGGAAUUCCUGGUGUAGCGGUGAAAUGCGCAGAUAUCAGGAGGAACACCGAUGGCGAAGGCAGGUCUCUGGGCCGAUACUGACGCUGAGGAGCGAAAGCGUGGGGAGCGAACAGG
Molecule: ribosomal RNA, 254 nt
Filed under: uncultured bacterium
Lineage: Bacteria
Description: partial 16S ribosomal RNA
Rfam family: Bacterial small subunit ribosomal RNA
Source: RNAcentral